This 454-nucleotide ribosomal RNA is filed under the name Blastocystis sp. RNAcentral's name for it is "SSU rRNA". It matches the Rfam family "Eukaryotic small subunit ribosomal RNA", at positions 475 to 938 of the family's 1831-position model. The record is from RNAcentral. Lineage: Eukaryota; Bigyra; Opalinata; Blastocystidae.
AAAUCACAAUGCGGGACUAGUAGUCUUGCAAUUGGAUUGAGAACAAUGUACAACUCUUAUCGAUAAGCCAUUGGAGGGCAAGUCUGGUGCCAGCAGCCGCGGUAAUUCCAGCUCCAAUAGCGUAUAUUAACGUUGUUGCAGUUAAAAAGCUCGUAGUUGAAAUGAAGGGUAGUUGUGUAAUGAAUACAUUCGUGUAUUUUGUUAUUCAAGUACCCUCCUUCUAAAUUCGAUAUAUGAGUAUUAAUUUACUUGUAUAUGGUUUUAGACAUUUACUGUGAGAAAAUUAGAGUGUUCAAAGCAGGCAUUUGCUUGAAUAUAUUAGCAUGGAAUAAUCAUGUAUGAUUUUCAUGAUGUAUUUGAUUGGUUUGGUUGAUGAGAAUAAGAUUAAAAGGGACAGUUGGGGGUAUUCAUAUUCAAUAGUCAGAGGUGAAAUUCUCGGAUUUAUGGAAGAUGA